AUUACUUCUCAGCCUUUUGGCUAAGAUCAAUUGUAGUAUCUAUUCUUUUCACUUUAAUAUAAGAUACCCCUUCUGCCCCCUCUGCUCAAGGACAACAGAUUAAAUGGAAUUUUGGAGCAGGGGGUGGACUAGGAGCUUGCUCGGGCCACGGUACACAGUGACCUGGUAUUGCAGUACUUCCUGUGUCGUGAACUCCCC
Molecule: small nuclear RNA, 198 nt
Organism: Sorex araneus (European shrew)
Lineage: Eukaryota; Metazoa; Chordata; Mammalia; Eulipotyphla; Soricidae
Gene: U2
Rfam family: U2 spliceosomal RNA
About the family: U2 is a small nuclear RNA (snRNA) component of the spliceosome (involved in pre-mRNA splicing). Complementary binding between U2 snRNA (in an area lying towards the 5' end but 3' to hairpin I) and the branchpoint sequence (BPS) of the intron results the bulging out of an unpaired adenosine, on the BPS, which initiates a nucleophilic attack at the intronic 5' splice site, thus starting the first of two transesterification reactions that mediate splicing.
Source: Ensembl